AGUGAACGCUGGCGGCAGGCCUAACACAUGCAAGUCGAACGGCAGCACAGCAGUAGCAAUACUGUGGGUGGCGAGUGGCGGACGGGUGAGGAAUACAUGGGAAUCUACCCUGUCGUGGGGGAUACGUAGGGAACUUACGCUAAUACCGCAUACGACCGAGAGGUGGAAGCGGCGGACCGCAAGGCGUCGCGCGACUGGAUGAGCCCAUGUCGGAUUAGCAGUUGGCGGGUAAAGGCCCACCAAGGCGACGAUCCGUAGCUGGUCUGAGAGGAUGAUCAGCCACACUGGAACUGAGACACGGUCCAGACUCC
This 311-nucleotide ribosomal RNA is filed under the name uncultured bacterium. RNAcentral's name for it is "bacterial SSU rRNA". It matches the Rfam family "Bacterial small subunit ribosomal RNA", at positions 29 to 339 of the family's 1533-position model. The record is from RNAcentral.